RNAcentral lists this ribosomal RNA (484 nucleotides) under uncultured bacterium. Its description in RNAcentral is "partial 16S ribosomal RNA". It matches the Rfam family "Bacterial small subunit ribosomal RNA", at positions 28 to 523 of the family's 1533-position model. The record is from RNAcentral.
GACGAACGCUGGCGGCGUGCUUAACACAUGCAAGUCGAACGAUGAACCCGGAGCUUGCUCCGGCGGAUUAGUGGCGAACGGGUGAGUAACACGUGAGUAACCUGCCCUUGACUCUGGGAUAACUGCUAGAAAUGGUAGCUAAUACCGGAUACGACCCUCGGUGGCAUCACCAGGGGGUGGAAAGAAUUUCGGUCAAGGAUGGACUCGCGGCCGAUCAGCUAGUUGGUGAGGUAACGGCUCACCAAGGCGACGACGGGUAGCCGGCCUGAGAGGGUGACCGGCCACACUGGGACUGAGACACGGCCCAGACUCCUACGGGAGGCAGCAGUGGGGAAUAUUGCACAAUGGGCGCAAGCCUGAUGCAGCAACGCCGCGUGAGGGAUGACGGCCUUCGGGUUGUAAACCUCUUUUAGUAGGGAAGAAGCGAAAGUGACGGUACCUGCGGAAAAAGCACCGGCUAACUACGUGCCAGCAGCCGCCGCAG